CUACCACAUUGUCUACUCCUGGAAUGUGAAUGGCUGAAAUGUCAUCCAGAUGACUUUGAGCCCAGGACAUAAUCCGUGAGCAAAGGAAAUUCAAUUUUUUUACUCUUGUACUGCUUGUUUGUUCAGGUAGGAGACUGUAGUCUGAUUGUCCGACUGGAUUUUUACAGCUUUCCCUACAAUGAAAUCCUUGAACUGCUGAAGAGGGUAGAGUACUGCUAACAACUCCUUGAAAUUUGAAGAUUCCUUUGUUUCCUUUUUCGACCAAACACCUUG
This is a non-coding RNA of Pelobates cultripes (western spadefoot toad), 273 nucleotides long. The record is from the annotation of a GenBank genome assembly. Lineage: Eukaryota; Metazoa; Chordata; Amphibia; Anura; Pelobatidae.